RNAcentral lists this ribosomal RNA (492 nucleotides) under uncultured bacterium. Its description in RNAcentral is "partial 16S ribosomal RNA". It matches the Rfam family "Bacterial small subunit ribosomal RNA", at positions 29 to 507 of the family's 1533-position model. The record is from RNAcentral.
AGUGAACGCUGGCGGUAGGCCUAACACAUGCAAGUCGAACGGCAGCACAGUAAGAGCUUGCUCUUGCGGGUGGCGAGUGGCGGACGGGUGAGGAAUACAUCGGAAUCUACUUUUUCGUGGGGGAUAACGUAGGGAAACUUACGCUAAUACCGCAUACGACCUACGGGUGAAAGCAGGGGAUCUUCGGACCUUGCGCGAUUGAAUGAGCCGAUGUCGGAUUAGCUAGUUGGCGGGGUAAAGGCCCACCAAGGCGACGAUCCGUAGCUGGUCUGAGAGGAUGAUCAGCCACACUGGAACUGAGACACGGUCCAGACUCCUACGGGAGGCAGCAGUGGGGAAUAUUGGACCAUGGGCGCAAGCCUGAUCCAGCCAUACCGCGUGGGUGAAGAAGGCCUUCGGGUUGUAAAGCCCUUUUGUUGGGAAAGAAAAGCAGCAGGUUAAUACCCCGCUGUUCUGACGGUACCCAAAGAAUAAGCACCGGCUAACUUCGUG